This 338-nucleotide ribosomal RNA is filed under the name uncultured Streptococcus sp. Its description in RNAcentral is "bacterial SSU rRNA". It matches the Rfam family "Bacterial small subunit ribosomal RNA", at positions 1043 to 1382 of the family's 1533-position model. Lineage: Bacteria; Bacillati; Bacillota; Bacilli; Lactobacillales; Streptococcaceae. The record is from RNAcentral.
GCAUGGUUGUCGUCAGCUCGUGUCGUGAGAUGUUGGGUUAAGUCCCGCAACGAGCGCAACCCCUAUUGUUAGUUGCCAUCAUUCAGUUGGGCACUCUAGCGAGACUGCCGGUAAUAAACCGGAGGAAGGUGGGGAUGACGUCAAAUCAUCAUGCCCCUUAUGACCUGGGCUACACACGUGCUACAAUGGUUGGUACAACGAGUUGCGAGUCGGUGACGGCGAGCUAAUCUCUUAAAGCCAAUCUCAGUUCGGAUUGUAGGCUGCAACUCGCCUACAUGAAGUCGGAAUCGCUAGUAAUCGCGGAUCAGCACGCCGCGGUGAAUGCGUUCCCGGGCCUU